RNAcentral lists this ribosomal RNA (497 nucleotides) under uncultured bacterium. Its description in RNAcentral is "partial 16S ribosomal RNA". It matches the Rfam family "Bacterial small subunit ribosomal RNA", at positions 28 to 507 of the family's 1533-position model. The record is from RNAcentral.
GAUGAACGCUGGCGGCGUGCCUAAUACAUGCAAGUCGAGCGAACAGAUGAGGAGCUUGCUCCUCUGACGUUAGAGGCGGACGGGUGAGUAAAACGUGGAUAACCUACCUAUAAGACUGGGAUAAAUUCGGGAAACCGGAGCUAAUAACGGAUAAAAUAUUGAACCGCAUGGUUCAAUGGUGAAAGACGGUUUUGCUGUCACUGAUAGAUGGAUCCGCGCCGCAUUAGCUAGUUGGUAAGGUAACGGCUUACCAAGGCAACGAUGCGUAGCCGACCUGAGAGGGUGAUCGGCCACACUGGAACUGAGACACGGUCCAGACUCCUACGGGAGGCAGCAGUAGGGAAUCUUCCGCAAUGGGCGAAAGCCUGACGGAGCAACGCCGCGUGUAUGAUGAAGGUCUUCGGAUCGUAAAACUCUGUUAGUAGGGAAGAACAAAUGUGUAAGUAACUAUUCACGUCUUGACGUUACCUAAUCAGAAAGCCACGGCUAACUACGUG